This 25-nucleotide non-coding RNA is filed under the name Rattus norvegicus (Norway rat). The record is from RNAcentral. Lineage: Eukaryota; Metazoa; Chordata; Mammalia; Rodentia; Muridae.
CUGAAGGAUACAUCCAAGCCCCGGC